ACACAUGCAAGUCGAACGGUAACAGGAAGAAUCUUGCUUCUUUGCUGACGAGUGGCGGACGGGUGAGUAAUGUCUGGGAAACUGCCUGAUGGAGGGGGAUGACUACUGGAAACGGUAGCUAAUACCGCAUAAUGUCGCAAGACCAAAGAGGGGGACCUUCGGGCCUCUUGCCAUCGGAUGUGCCCAGAUGGGAUUAGCUAGUAGGUGGGGUAACGGCUCACCUAGGCGACGAUCCCUAGCUGGUCUGAGAGGAUGACCAGCCACACUGGAACUGAGACACGGUCCAGACUCCUACGGGAGGCAGCAGUGGGGAAUAUUGCACAAUGGGCGCAAGCCUGAUGCAGCCAUGCCGCGUGUAUGAAGAAGGCCUUCGGGUUGUAAAGUACUUUCAGCGGGGAGGAAGGGAGUAAAGUUAAUACCUUUGCUCAUUGACGUUACCCGCAGAAGAAGCACCGGCUAACUCCGUGCCAGCAGCCGCGGUUAUACGGAGGGUGCAAGCGUUAAUCGGAAUUACUGGGCGUAAAGCGCACGCAGGCGGUUUGUUAAGUCAGAUGUGAAAUCCCCGGGCUCAACCUGGGAACUGCAUCUGAUACUGGCAAGCUUGAGUCUCGUAGAGGGGGGUAGAAUUCCAGGUGUAGCGGUGAAAUGCGUAGAGAUCUGGAGGAAUACCGGUGGCGAAGGCGGCCCCCUGGACGAAGACUGACGCUCAGGUGCGAAAGCGUGGGGAGCAAACAGGAUUAGAUACCCUGGUAGUCCACGCCGUAAACGAUGUCGACUUGGAGGUUGUGCCCUUGAGGCGUGGCUUCCGGAGCUAACGCGUUAAGUCGACCGCCUGGGGAGUACGGCCGCAAGGUUAAAACUCAAAUGAAUUGACGGGGGCCCGCACAAGCGGUGGAGCAUGUGGUUUAAUUCGAUGCAACGCGAAGAACCUUACCUGGUCUUGACAUCCACAGAACUUUCCAGAGAUGGAUUGGUGCCUUCGGGAACUGUGAGACAGGUGCUGCAUGGCUGUCGUCAGCUCGUGUUGUGAAAUGUUGGGUUAAGUCCCGCAACGAGCGCAACCCUUAUCCUUUGUUGCCAGCGGUCCGGCCGGGAACUCAAAGGAGACUGCCAGUGAUAAACUGGAGGAAGGUGGGGAUGACGUCAAGUCAUCAUGGCCCUUACGACCAGGGCUACACACGUGCUACAAUGGCGCAUACAAAGAGAAGCGACCUCGCGAGAGCAAGCGGACCUCAUAAAGUGCGUCGUAGUCCGGAUUGGAGUCUGCAACUCGACUCCAUGAAGUCGGAAUCGCUAGUAAUCGUGGAUCAGAAUGCCACGGUGAAUACGUUCCCGGGCCUUGUACACACCGCCCGUCACACCAUGGGAGUGGGUUGCAAAAGAAGUAGGUAGCUUAACCUUCGGGAGGGCGCUUACCACUUUGUGAUUCAUGACUGGGGUGAAGUC
This 1446-nucleotide ribosomal RNA is filed under the name uncultured bacterium. RNAcentral describes it as "16S ribosomal RNA". It matches the Rfam family "Bacterial small subunit ribosomal RNA". The record is from RNAcentral.